AACGAACGCUGGCGGCGUGCCUAACACAUGCAAGUCGUGCGAGAAAGUUCCUUCGGGAGCGAGUAAAGCGGCGCACGGGUGAGUAACACGUAGGUAACCUGCCCCCCAGUCUGGAACAACUAGAGGAAACUCUAGCUAAUGCCGGAUGAGACCACGAUCCCCUUCGGGGGUUGCGGGCCAAAGAUGGCCUCUACUUGUAAGCUAUCGCUGAGGGAUGGGCCUGCGGGCCAUUAGCUUGUUGGUGAGGUAACGGCUCACCAAGGCUGUGAUGGCUAGCUGGUCUGAGAGGAUGACCAGCCACACUGGGACUGAGACACGGCCCAGGACUCCUACGGGAGGCAGCAGUGGGGAAUAUUGCGCAAUGGGCGAAGCCUGACGCAGCGA
This 384-nucleotide ribosomal RNA is filed under the name uncultured bacterium. RNAcentral's name for it is "bacterial SSU rRNA". It matches the Rfam family "Bacterial small subunit ribosomal RNA", at positions 29 to 394 of the family's 1533-position model. The record is from RNAcentral.